AUUGAACGCUGGCGGCAGGCCUAACACAUGCAAGUCGAGCGGAUGAAGGAAACUUUCUCCUGUAUUCAGCUGCCGACGGGUGAGUAAUUACUAGGAAUCUACCUGGUCUUGAGGGAUAACAUCCGGUAGCGGACGCUAAUACCGCAUACGUCAUUAGUGUGAACGUGAGGGAUCUUCGGAGCACACGGUAUCAGCUGAGACUAGGUCGGAUUAGCUAGUUGGUAGGGUAACGGCUUACCAAGGCGACGAUCCGUAACUGAUCUGAGAGGGUGAUCAGUCACACUGGAACUGAGACACGGUCCAGACUCCUACGGGAGGCAGCAGUAGGGAAUAUUGGGCAAUGGGCGAAAGCCUGACGCAGCCACGCCGCGUGUGUGAAGAAGGUCUUCGGAUUGUAAAGCACUGUUAGUUGGGAAGAACGGCAGUAAGUGAAUACCUGGCUGUUUUGACGUUACCAACAGAAUAAGCACCGGCUAACUACGUG
RNAcentral lists this ribosomal RNA (484 nucleotides) under uncultured bacterium. RNAcentral describes it as "partial 16S ribosomal RNA". It matches the Rfam family "Bacterial small subunit ribosomal RNA", at positions 30 to 507 of the family's 1533-position model. The record is from RNAcentral.